GUGCUUGCUUCAGCAGCACAUGUACUAAAAUUGGAACAACAUAGAAAAGAUUGGCAUGGCCUCUGUGCAAGAAUGACAUGCAAAUUUGUGAAGCGUUCCAUAUUUUU
This is a small nuclear RNA of Camelus dromedarius (Arabian camel), 107 nucleotides long. NCBI's taxonomy places the organism in Eukaryota, Metazoa, Chordata, Mammalia, Artiodactyla, Camelidae. The record is from Ensembl.